AGUAAUGGAGCAAGAGUUACUGCUGUAGCCGUUGGUACUUAUCCUCUGUGAUUACCAUCAAGAUUCAAUUUAGUUCUGAGAGACUAUUACUAUAUAGCUACUGCUAGUAGAAAUUUGAUUUCUGUAUUUAUACUAGCAUAAGAUGAAUAUAUUUUUAAUUUUAAUAAAAAGUACUGUUCAAAUUAUUUUAAAAAUAAAUUGGUUACACAUAAUUUUUUAAUUGAUAGUCUCUACCAUUUAUAUUUUAAUAUAUCUAUGAAUGUAUUCGAGC
RNAcentral lists this long non-coding RNA (271 nucleotides) under Elaeis guineensis (African oil palm). RNAcentral describes it as "long non-coding RNA (EGUI_LNC041884)". Lineage: Eukaryota; Viridiplantae; Streptophyta; Magnoliopsida; Arecales; Arecaceae. The record is from RNAcentral.